UACGUAGGGUGCGAGCGUUGUCCGGAAUUAUUGGGCGUAAAGGGUGUGUAGGCGGUUGCUUAAGUUUGGUGUGAAAUCUCCCGGCUCAACUGGGAGGGUGCGCCGAAUACUGAGUGACUCGAGUGCGGGAGAGGAGAGUGGAAUUCCUGGUGUAGCGGUGAAAUGCGCAGAUAUCAGGAAGAACACCUAUGGCGAAGGCAGCUCUCUGGGACGGUACUGACGCUGAGACGCGAAAGCGUGGGGAGCGAACAGG
RNAcentral lists this ribosomal RNA (253 nucleotides) under uncultured bacterium. RNAcentral's name for it is "partial 16S ribosomal RNA". It matches the Rfam family "Bacterial small subunit ribosomal RNA", at positions 524 to 776 of the family's 1533-position model. The record is from RNAcentral.